GACCGACUACGAAUAAACCAGGUUUAGCCCAGAAAUAACCAUGAAUUUAAUUACAUGUUGUUUUUCCAAAAUGAUUUGUGAGAUGUAUGAUAUUUAAUCAUGUAAACAAAGUUCAAAGCGAUUAAGGUAUUUUGUUUCAUUUCUUUAAGGUGUUAUAUGCACCGUCUGUACUUAGCCACUAUUUAGCUUACAAAUAGACCGACUACGAAUAACACACGUUUAGCCCAGAAAUAACCAUUAAUUUAAUUACACGUGGUUUUUGCCAAAUAACUUGUGAGAUGUAUGGUAUUUCAUUGUGUAAGCAAAGUUAACAGCGAUUACAAUGUUUGUUUAAUUUCUUUAAAGUGUUUUAUGCACCGUCGCACAUAGCCACUAUUUAGCUCAUAAAUAGACCGACUACGAACAAACCAUGUUUAGCCCAGAAUAACCUUGAAUUUAAUAAAAUGUUGUUUUUGCCAAAAUAACUUGCAAGAUGUAUGAUAUUUCAUCAGGCAUGCAAAGACACCAGUGAAUUCAAGAUGUUUGGUUUUAUUUAUCUUAUCUGAAUAUCUGCUGUCACGCAUAACAUUCAUUAUUGAUAUACAAAAUCCAGUUACAACUCCGAACCGCUAGAUGGCAGCUGCAGUACACAAACACGAGGCCAAAUCUGGCGAGAAAGAUUUCCGGUGUUUGAAAAUCAACAACACCGACCAGCGAGCAGCCAAGGGGAAAGCAAUCUUCCACACUCGUUUGGUCUUGCGUCAAAGCUGUGUGAAACUGGAUGGAAAAACUUGAGAGACCGUGCCAGAAGAAUGCUGGACAGAGUUCCAUAAAAUUCAUUAAUUUCAAAGUUCAACAUGAAUGGUGGUAGUCCACUGCAGAAGCAAGCAUUUGAAAAAACAUCAGUUCUCAGUUAUUAAAGAUGCUGUGUUGAACAACUUCCCAGCAGCAACAGAACUGGAAGUGAAGGAUGCAAUGGGGGCAUUUCAAACAGGCACCGGGGGGGGGGGGGGGUAUAGAAAUUAGUACAAUUAAUAAGUUGAAGUGAACUGAAGAUAAGUUUGUUAAUGUUUAGAUGUUAUUUCAUUUUUAAAAUUUUAUUUUGUUAUUUAUGCUUUUAUUUUGUUACUGUUUUUAUUCUUUUUGUUAAAAGUAGUUUUUCAUUUUGUCUUAUCUGAAUUUCUAUUGUAUUAACAAUAUUUCUUGUAAUAAAUUGCAUGAUUACAUGUUUAUGAGAACCUUUUUUAAUGGAUUAAAAAUAAUUCUUUAGCCA
Molecule: non-coding RNA, 1252 nt
Organism: Misgurnus anguillicaudatus (oriental weatherfish)
Lineage: Eukaryota; Metazoa; Chordata; Actinopteri; Cypriniformes; Cobitidae
Source: RefSeq, a predicted model, not a curated record